RNAcentral lists this ribosomal RNA (449 nucleotides) under uncultured bacterium. RNAcentral describes it as "partial 16S ribosomal RNA". It matches the Rfam family "Bacterial small subunit ribosomal RNA", at positions 328 to 793 of the family's 1533-position model. The record is from RNAcentral.
CUGCCAGACUCCUACGGGAGGCAGCAGUGGGGAAUAUUGCACAAUGGGGGGAACCCUGAUGCAGCGACGCCGCGUGGGUGAAGGAGUAUUUCGGUAUGUAAAGCCCUAUCGGCAGGGAAGAAGGAGGACGGUACCUGACUAAGAAGCCCCGGCUAACUACGUGCCAGCAGCCGCGGUAAUACGUAGGGGGCAAGCGUUAUCCGGAUUUACUGGGUGUAAAGGGGGCGCAGACGGCAGCGCAAGCCAGGAGGGAAAGCCCGGGGCCCAACCCCGGGACUGCUCUUGGAACUGCGCGGCUGGAGUGCAGGAGGGGCAGGCGGAAUUCCUGGUGUAGCGGUGAAAUGCGUAGAUAUCAGGAGGAACACCGGUGGCGAAGGCGGCCUGCUGGACUGUGACUGACGUUGAGGCUCGAAAGCGUGGGGAGCAAACAGGAUUAGAUACCCUUGUAC